RNAcentral lists this ribosomal RNA (579 nucleotides) under Priestia megaterium. RNAcentral's name for it is "bacterial SSU rRNA". It matches the Rfam family "Bacterial small subunit ribosomal RNA", at positions 173 to 747 of the family's 1533-position model. Lineage: Bacteria; Bacillati; Bacillota; Bacilli; Caryophanales; Bacillaceae. The record is from RNAcentral.
GAUCUUCUCCUUCAUGGGAGAUGAUUGAAAGAUGGUUUCGGCUAUCACUUACAGAUGGGCCCGCGGUGCAUUAGCUAGUUGGUGAGGUAACGGCUCACCAAGGCAACGAUGCAUAGCCGACCUGAGAGGGUGAUCGGCCACACUGGGACUGAGACACGGCCCAGACUCCUACGGGAGGCAGCAGUAGGGAAUCUUCCGCAAUGGACGAAAGUCUGACGGAGCAACGCCGCGUGAGUGAUGAAGGCUUUCGGGUCGUAAAACUCUGUUGUUAGGGAAGAACAAGUACAAGAGUAACUGCUUGUACCUUGACGGUACCUAACCAGAAAGCCACGGCUAACUACGUGCCAGCAGCCGCGGUAAUACGUAGGUGGCAAGCGUUAUCCGGAAUUAUUGGGCGUAAAGCGCGCGCAGGCGGUUUCUUAAGUCUGAUGUGAAAGCCCACGGCUCAACCCGUGAGGGUCAUUGGAAACUGGGGAACUUGAGUGCAGAAGAGAAAGCGGAUUCCACGUGUAGCGGUGAAAUGCGUAAGAUGUGGAGGACCACCAGUGGCCGAGGCGGCUUUUGUCUGUACUGACCGCU